UUGAGGCAAGGUUUAAAAUUGACUAUAAACAGGGUUAGUCACGGUUUAAUUUUAAAAAGGUUUUAAACUGUAAACAUGAGUUAACCCUGUUUCAGCAAUUUUAACUCCUUUUUUUAGUGAAGGAUUUCACUAUUAACCUUAACACAUCAGUUUAAAUCUUGCGCAAGGUUUGAAUGGUUUUAAAUUUCUAUCAUGGCGAGAUUCUUAAUGCAUUUAAGGGUUUCUCGUGUAAACUUGUCAAGUGGAAUCAGUAAGAGAAAAAUGGUGUUUAGUGUUCAGUGUGCCUCAAAGAAUGGAGGCAUUCGCGUUGACAUUUCGGGGAUUGGGGCUCAAUAUGAACCCCCAGUGACCACCCAGGGACAUAUCAGCGACAUAGAAGAGUGAAUUGUGAAAAGUUCUGUGAUGUCGGAACUCCAGAUUUGCAGAAGUUCGAACGAGAGGAUCAUACUGAAACAUGGAAAUUCUACCUAAAAUUUCAAGAGGAGAGAGCAGAAACACGCCAGGGAGCAGUGGAAAGUGCAAAAUAAAAUAAUUGCCACCGUCCUGCUUACACAUCCUUUGAAGUGGUGCAGGCUGAAGCAGGAUUGAUUAAUUUCAGGAAUUACGUAGGUUUCAGAAACCAAAAAAUAUGCCCUCUUUAAUUUUUUUAAAAUAUUAAUAAAGAAUAUAUCUUCAAAUCCAACUCUGAAACAUAAAAGUACAACAUUAGAACAAUAUUUUCUAAAAUUUUCAUUUACAAAUUUUAAAAGGCUGAUCUUUUAAAAUGAUUUUCGGAGACAUAACUCACAUAAUUUUUCUCUGAAAUCAGAAAACUAAAUAUUUGCUAUUAGCAGUUGAGUAAAAGUUAUAUUUCAACGAAAGUUUAAAAACAUGAAAUUUGUUUUCAAUAGCAUUUUUUACAAGAAAAAAUGGCGUAUAUUACACUACAUUUCGCCGUGCAAAAUAAGGUAUGACCAAGGAAAAAAAACAAAUCCUUGUUUAAGUUUUAAACAAUCAACUCUAGAAGUAUGCAAAUUUUCGAUGAAAUUGAUGCAUUAGUUUUCGAAAAAUUUGGCAUAUAAAUCUCACAAAUUGAGAUUUUAAAAAGAGCUUUUACAGUUGAUGCUUCUCAAUUGGCUUUAAAUAAAUUUGUAAAGGCUCUAUCCUAAAGUUUCUCACUGGGUUGAAGCUUUUAGAUGAGAAAAUAUUCUUCACAUGUUGUACUUUGUUAUCAAAGAAUCUGUAUAUAUAUUUUUUUUAAAGUUGCAAUACUACAAAAAAUUUCUACUAGGGUGUAUACGCCAUGCUGGCGUAUACACACUAGUAGAAUUUUUUUUAAAAAUGCCUUUUUAAAGCAAAUUUCCCAUAUCCUUGUAGGUAGAAACGUCAGAAUUUUUUAAAAAAGGCAUUUAAAAAAAAUUCUACUAGUGUGUAGACGCCAUAAAGCUGUAAGGUAAUCUAGAUAUAUUGAUUUAUUUUUCAUUGAGAUAAGAUUAAAUAUUGAAAAAAAAUAUAUAUAAGUAAACAAAUACUGUCAAUUUUUCUUGAUGGAUUUUCCUAAGUUUUUGCUUAAUUAUUUUGAAAAUAACUUUUCUCAUGCUGUUGUAAAAUUUACUCCCUAGUUUUUGCUAAUAUUGUUUAAAAAAGCUUUAAAUAACAGAUAUUUUUACGAUACCUUAAAAAAAUAAUAAUAUAAUAAAGUUUAAAGUAAUGAAAUAACUAGGAGUUAUAAAUUCUUAUAUUUGUGUUAAAUUGUAAUUAUUUAAUAGUAAAAUAAGGAAUUAUAAUGAUGUAUUGUUAGAAAAACAAGUACGAUUUUAUUGUAAUAAAUUCUAAAUGUUUACUUAACC
Long non-coding RNA from Phlebotomus papatasi, 1829 nucleotides. RefSeq lists it as uncharacterized. The transcript is spliced from 2 exons. NCBI's taxonomy places the organism in Eukaryota, Metazoa, Arthropoda, Insecta, Diptera, Psychodidae. The record is from RefSeq and is a predicted model, not a curated record.